AAAAACUACUGGGGUGCCUGGGUGGCAAAGUCAGUUAAGCAUCCAACUCUUGAUUUCAGUUCAGGUCACAAUCUCAUAGUUCAUGAGCUCAAGCCUAGCACUGGGCUCUAUGCUGGUGGUCCAGAGCCUGUUUGGGGCUCUGUCUCUUCUCUCUGCCCCUCCCCCGCUUGUGCAUUCGCCUUCUCGCUCUCUCUCAAAAUAAAUGAAUAAACAUUAAAAAAAAAAUACCCUCCCCCAACUACCUAUUACUGUUCUCACUUCAGAUUUUGCUUAAAUGGUUAGCAGGAAGGAACCUCCCUCCCUGUCAACAUGAUAAGGCAGAAUAUUAAGGGGAGGAAGCCCUGAGUCUGAGGGAGUCCACAUCCAGUGUCAAAUCCUUGGUUACAAGUCGGGCUUUGCAGUCCGAGAGCUUAGGAUCAAUUCCCAGCUCUACCAUUUUCUAGUGGUGUGAUCUGGGCUGUUGACUUAGGCUCUCUAAACUUCAGUUUCCUCCUCUGGGGGAAGGGGAUAAUAAUAAUGUGGCAUUGCUUUGAGGAUUCAAUGGAAUAAAGCAGGUAAACUGCUUAGCAGGAGCCGGGCAUAGAGUAAAGUAACUGCUGAGUAUUCAUGAUGACAAGUAUUAUUACUGUUCCACUGGUUUUGUGACUCUAGACAAGUUUGCAGCUUUGCUGAGUCUGUUCUCAGAUCAGACAUAGAACAUAAGCAGUAACGACCCAGGGCUGGAACUCCAUUAAGGGACAGCCAUCACCGCCAGUGCCAUCAUGGACAUCGUUGUCUUAUAGGCACCUGACUUUUAAGUGAGCAGAAGCUGAAAGAAAGGGAGUUAAGAUGCCUCUUAGCUUAGAAACAUGUAUAUACAUGAUGGCAACUGUAUACAAAUUACAUAUGCACAUGGGGGCGAAUUGAAAGAAAGCAGGGAAGAGUAGAAACUGAUUUGUUACAGUGUCAGGCAUGUGGAUGAAGGUUUUUUUUUCUUUUUCUCUGAUUCUACUCAUGUUAUAACUGGGUAAUAAUAAUACUUUAAAAAUAUGUUAUUGUAUAAAAGCACAACAAAUCCCCAUAUACCUAACAGCCCCUUUCAACAAUUAAUAAUGCCUUUUUUAGUCAUGAAGGAAAAUUCAAGUCAGCACUGUUGCCAAUUGUAAUAACUUUCAUAAAUGAACGAGACAGGGGCUCCUGGGUGGCUCAGUUACUUCAGUGUCUGACUCUUGAUUUCGGCCCAGGUCAUGAUCUCACAGUUCGUGGGAUGGAGACCUGCAUCAGGCUCUGCACUGACAGCAUGGAGCCUGCUUGGGAUUCUCUCUCUCUCCUCUCUCUCUCUCUCUCUCUCUCUCUCCCUCUCUCUUCCCCCUCCCCUGCUCUCUCAAAUAAAUAAGUAAAUAAGUAAAUAAAUAAACUUAAAGAAAAAAACUUUAAAAAAUUAAAAAAAACCCAUGAACGAGACAGUGAAAUUGUCCUGGAAUAAGCAGGCGAGGAAAAAGGGUCUGGCUCAACUGAAAACUUCACUCUGGCUGGCUCAAAGUAAUCCGGGUCAAGCCCAAGUGUGUUCAUGCCACAGCAUCCCCUGCAUUCAUUGGACAAGCAUUAAUGAAGUGCUUGCUGGGUACCAGGCUGGGUGUGAGGUCCUAGGAACACAAAGAAGGGAAAGCCACUGGGGGAACAGCAAAAUCAAAGCCAAGUCCCCUCAGUUCCUAUUGAAUUCCUACUCUCAAUGUAACACAAUAUUUCUAUGCAUGGUUACGAGGGCUGUAGCAGAAAUCUGUUUUGCUGGGAAGAGACAGAAGGACAAAGAAGCUCUGUGAGGGAUGGGAAGGUGCAGAAAGGUUCAGGGGAGGCAGGAGCCUGGUUUGGCCAUGGUGGGGCCAGGCGAGAGGAGGCUCCAGCAGGAGAACAUGCCAGCACUUUGGAAUGGAAGCGUGGAUACAAUCAGGUGGGAGGAGCAGCGGCAGGUGGGGCAGAGAGAAGGUAGGGAGACUGAGUAUCACAGAAAAGAAAUGGGAAGUGCCCCCCUGAGUGUCGCUUUUCUCAAACUAAAUCACCUUUAAAGAGUUAUUUGACUUGAGAGUUAAAGACCUGUCUUGUAUAAUGAUGAUUCUGCUCAAUGUAAGUUUGAAGAGGACGUCAUUGCUCUGGUGUCAUACUUAAAAAAAUAAAUAAAUACGUGGCUUUGGCUAUCAGUCCCCAAGGGUCGAAAGAGCAUGCUUCUAGGUAUUUGCAAGAUUUAAUGACUUAAUAUUGUAAUGGAUUCUAAAUAUCUCUUUAAAAUAAUUAAAAAGAAUAGGGGUGUCUGGGUGGCUCAACUUCAGCUCAGGUCAUGAUCUUGCAGUUCAUGAGUUUGAGCCCCGGCAUUGGGCUCUGUGCUGACCGCUCAGAGCCUGGAGCCCGUUGCAGAUUCUGUGUCUCCCUCUCUCUCUGCCCCUCCCCCGCUCAUGCUCUAUUUUUCGCUGUCUCAAAAAUAAACAAAACAUUAAAAAAAUAUCUCUCUGGGGGCCCCUGGGUGGCUCAGUCAAUUGAGCGUCCAACUUCAGCCCAGGUCAUGAUCUCACGGUUCGUGAGUUCGAGCCCCGUGACAGGAUCUGUGCUGACCGCUCAGAGCCUGGAGCCUGCUUUGGAUUCUGUGUCUCCUUCUCUCUCUGCCCCUCCCUCAUUUGCAUUCUGUCUCUAUCUCUCUCCCAAAAAUAAACAUUAAAAUUUUUUAAUAAAAUAAAAUAAUUAAAAAGAAUAGAAAGAAGUCUUAAAUAUGGCAAAUGCUGUAUAAUUUUUGCAGUUAUACAUCACAUCUAACUCUAGAGUAAACUCUGUGUCUACAUUAACACGUUUCCCGUGGUAGCAUAGUCUUGUCUCCCGUGCUUGUCCCCUUGCAAGCUCCACUCAGGCACGUAGGCCUUUUUCUCACGCUCACCAGGCUGGCCCCACAUCAAGGCCCACAUUGCACGGAUUGGAGCCUUUGCAAAUUCCUGUGCAGCCUGCCACGAGUUCCUGAGGGUGGGGCUUGCUAGGGGUGCUGAGAAUUGAUGGGAUCACCAGCCAGUCCAGAUGCUGGAAGAGUAGCCAGCAGGUUCCCCAGCUGCCUGUCUCAUUGCCCUGAGAGGCAGUUAGGUGGUUGCAGAGAGACAGGUCCUAAAGGUUUGGUGACGAAAGAAUUGGAAACCAGGGGGCUAAGACUCUCCAGGAGCCGAAGCAUCGGUCCCCUGGCUCAAGCCUCUUUUAUUUUUGCAAAUUACCUGGUAACAGCGAGCACGUACAACAUAGUAUUUGGCAUCUUGACAGGCCGUGCACCUGCAGUAUAUUCCAUACUGGGUCAUGAGUACAUCUGGCACCAGACAAAACAUUCUUAUCCCAGGCCUGGAGCCCGUAUGAUGUCCUUCUGGAGAGAACGAGCAGUCACGGCAGCCUUCCGUCCUGGGAAUGAAGCUGCUUUCAGUUUUCUUGCUGCUCUGUCCCUUUCCUUCAGGACAUUCUUAUAGCGCCUCCAGCUUCUUGUUCUCCAAUGGGUGAUCUCCUCUGGAGUGAAGAUCCGGCAUCUUCCCAAAUGACUAAGAAAUCAUCAUAGCCAACUUCGGUGAAGAAUGUGAUGAAAAUAUCCUGCUCUUUCUGAUGUGCUUUUAUUUAGGAAGAGUUAACGUAAGCGUAACUUAGAAGUUAGAAAAUAGAUUGUAAUGGUCUCCCUUUUUAUCUUCACCCUAAGUCUACUCUUGCGUCAAGGUCCAGCUCCACUCCUACCUUCUCUUUGUAACCUUGUCUGAUGGUUCCAUCUCUUAGUGAUCUGCCCCGAUACUUUGUACUCUGAUGUCAAGUGAUGGAGAUUUAUUCCAUCUGAAUUCUGUUGGAAUCACUGUAUGUGUUGGAAAAUACUACUUUGAGAAUCUUCCUGGUUAGAAGUGAGAUGCAAAAUGAAAGAAUAUGUUACAAAGAAUGGCCAUCAAAAUCCCUUCCAAAGAAGUUGGAAUCUGUUACCUGGAUAGCUCAUAGUUUAGGGGAGUAACAGUAAUAAGUUUGGGUGUGCAAAUCUGGAAGGCAGUUGCUGGUAUAGUGCUGAAGUCCUGUCCACCUUUCCAGAUUAGAAGAGAAAGGAAUUCGAAACUCCCUCUAAGAAGUGAGGGGAGAGAAGGCAGAGAGGCUGAUAUGGGUUGGUAGAAGGAUGAGAGGCAACUCUGAGGCAGCUCUGUAGCUGAGAGAGCACUUUGCACCUGAACUCGAAGAAGAGCUGAAAUGGGUGUCUGGGUUGGCUCAGGGGAGGAGACGGUAUGUGCAGACAGAUGAGAGGAUGCCAUGUGGAUUGCCCUUGAGCAAUGCUGUGUGUGCGAGCCAUGGCUCUGGCACCCCACCAGUCACACCAUGCCACAUAUUCUUGUUUCAGCCUCAAGGAAGAGACAGACAAGGUACACAAAUAAAAGGAAUGCAAUUAAAGAUCAAGUCCGAAUGGUAGCCCAGUGUGAACAGGUGGGGAAGGAAGGAAUUUUCUUCUCUGUAUCUUUGGUCCAUAUACUUAGUAGGUUCUCACUCCUUUCUAAGAGGAGUUCUACAAGGUUCCUUCUAGAAGGUUCUUCUACUCCUUCCAAGCAACUUCCUGGGUUUCCCUUUCACACGGGAUGGCAUGAGUGGCAUCAUGCCUAUGCCUACGGGGAAUAUAUAGCCCUUUCUUUGGCUAGACUUCUAGUAAGAGGGUGCCAUUCGAUUCCACUGGCAGUUCAAAAAAUGAGCAAAAGUCUAAGAAUUAACUCAUAUCAGCUUUGGAGCCUGCAGAGAUUGGCAGUGUCCUGUAAAAGCUGGUAGUACCUUCUAAUGAAAUAUUUAUUAGGACUGUGGUUUUGCAAAUGACAAAUCAAUUUAAAGUAACGUUUCCUCCAGAAGGUGGAAGAGCACAGCCGGAGCUUCACACCCAUCCCGGGCUGACAUUUCCUUGAACCUCCCCGCUUCAGCUUUUCAUUGUGUAGCAAAUGUGUGACACAAAUGUAGCAGAACGGAAUGCUCCUGCAAGGGCGCAGACCCCUCUAACAAGGCCAGCACAGCUGCCCGCGUGCCCCAACAUAAAUAAAGCAUCAGCAAAUUCAGGAAAACACAACACAUAAUUGAACUGAGAUGAGGACAAGAGUCAGGUUUUGUAAGAUCAUCCCUAAGUGGAUGCAACUAAUGGCUUUAACGUUUCUUCUCAAAUCAGGCUGAAUGGUUGAGCAGGCAGCCUUAGGAAACCCAUAGCAACUAGGAAAAGAUCACAGAUACCCACAACGUGCAAGCAGCAAACACAGGCUGUCUGGUUGAAGAAAUAUUUUUAUAGGAGGCUUGGGACAUGAAUGGAGGGAGUAGCAAAGAACAAAAGCAAUGGGUAGGCGUAUCCUCCAUUUCACAGAGAAAUCCUGAAGUCUUUCUAGAAGUCCCUGUGGGGGACUGUGGCUUAUGCAAACGUCUAAUACCUGCGUGCCUCCAGGCACAGUGCCUCAAAGAUAGAAGGAGCCCAGUGAAGGUGUGUUGCAUUAUUUUUGUCUUUAACUUUAUUAACCCCCUGUUCCUUCUUUCCUCCAAGCCCUGGAUUCCUGUUUAAUAAGGCUUUGGCUUCAUGAAAUCCUAACAUGGAAGCUGAAAGGCAAGCAGGAAAGACAGAAUCGUGGAAAUCAAACUGGAAUCCUGUCUGCUCUCUCUUCUGCCCAUUCCACAUGACUUCCAGCGCUGUGCAGGGGUCUCGUCACCAGGACUCACCUGGAAUCACCAUGAACUCUUCCUCCAAGCUCCAUCUCCAGUGCCGCUCCUUUUACGAACCUUCUCUGGCCAUUUAAUGUGCUCCAUUUAGCUCUCUGGCCUCAUGUUAUUUGCAACAUUUCUAUUUCCUUUUCAAUCUCUGCUUUGUACUAUAAUCACCGAAGGGCAUGUCCAUUUCCCUCACUAGACAGCAAGUUCCUUGAGGGCACUAUUGUAUUUUACACAACUUUCUAUGUCAUAUAAAACUUCCCACCUGGGUAAUUCAACAAUAAAUUAACAGACACAAAGACAUGUAAGGGAAAAGAAUAUGGACAUAGUUCCAACUAUGUGCCCACAGUGUUAGAUUAAGAAAUGGCUCAUUACCAUGACCUUUGAAGUCUGGCGUGUGUCCCAUUGUCUUCGCUCUUCACUUAGAGGGAACGGUGAUUUUUCAUUUUCGACUGAUAAUUUCCAUGCUUUCUACAUAAUUUUAUUAUAUAUGUUCACAUUGCUAAAUACCUUUUUAUUGUAUGUAUUAUAUAUAUUACAUAAAUGUAUAUAUAUAAAUAUAUAUUACAUAUAUAUUACAUUGUACAUAUAUAUAAUAAACUGUUUUUAAACACAUAAAAUUGGAAUCAUACUACAUGUAUUUUGCUGUGACCCUUUUUUGUUCAAAAUUGUGUCCUUGUGGAUGACGCAUGUUGUUGCUUGUAUAAACACGUGCUCUGAGAGACAGAGCAGGGGUCCCCUUUGGGCUCCUUGUCCUGGGGGACACACAGGCAGGCAGAGGAAUCACCUGAUUACCCAGUGGAACCAGAGCUGCUCUUACCCAGUGGGGCAGGAAGGACACUGUGUGGAACUCGAGGGAUCCUCAAGUCCUGUCUUGCCAUCAGGACUGUGGAUAGAGAGUGCAGCACUCUUUAACUGAGAAGGGGUGAUUGCCAAGGGUGCAGUCUCCUCAGGAGCACAGUUGGGCUCACACCACCGGGUAACUUGCCAGGUCAUAGAUGCUUGGGUAGACUGGUACACAAGGAAGGAGAGAAGGUUCCUAUUCUUAUGAAUCUUGUAUUUCAGGGCAUGUGAGAGAGAAAUCAAGAGAAAAACAAUAGGGGUGCGUGAGUGGCUCAGUCAGUACAGCAUCCGGUAUCAGCUCAGGUCAUCAUCUCACAGUUCGUGAGUUCGAGCCCUGCAUCAGGCUCCCUGCCAUCGGCACAAAGCCCACGUGGGAUUCUCUGUCCCCCUUUCCCUCUGUCUCUCCCCCGGUCACUCUCUCUCUCUUCUCUCAAAAAGAGUGACUUACAGCCACUUACAGCGGCAGUGACUUAGAGUUCAAGGGGACCCCUCCUCUUUCCCUCAAAAAGAGAGAGAGAAACAAUAAACAGUAGAUACAAUAAAUCAAAUUAAAUAGUAUGUUAGAAGUGAUAAAUACUAGAGAAAAGGGAAAAAAUGGAGCAGGGCAAUAAGGUCAGGAGUGCAGGAUGGCAGGAAUGGGGACGGAUUUGCAAUAUCAAAUAGGGUGGGUCUCAUGGAGAAGGGAACAUAUGAGCAACUAUUGCAAACAGUGAGGGAUUAGUCCCGCAGAUGUCUGAGAAAGGAGCAUUCAAGGCAGAGGAAACUCCCAGUGCACUGUAGAAGGCAGGAGUGUGCCUGGCACUCCGGGCAGAGUAGGGAGCCAGUGGGGCAGACAGGAGAUGAAGUCAGAGCAGCAAAGGAAGGGAGAAGCAAGGGGCACCUGGCUGGCUC
Acinonyx jubatus (cheetah) is the source of this 7419-nucleotide long non-coding RNA. RefSeq lists it as uncharacterized. The transcript has 3 exons. The record is from RefSeq and is a predicted model, not a curated record. NCBI's taxonomy places the organism in Eukaryota, Metazoa, Chordata, Mammalia, Carnivora, Felidae.